AGAGUUUGAUUCUGGCUCAGGAUGAACGCUGGCGGCGUGCUUAACACAUGCAAGUCGAGCGAAGCAAUCUAAGUGAAGUUUUCGGAUGGAUCUUAGAUUGACUGAGCGGCGGACGGGUGAGUAACGCGUGGAUAACCUGCCUCACACAGGGGGAUAACAGUUAGAAAUGACUGCUAAUACCGCAUAAGCGCACGGCAUCGCAUGAUGCAGUGUGAAAAACUCCGGUGGUGUGAGAUGGAUCCGCGUCUGAUUAGGUAGUUGGUGGGGUAACGGCCCACCAAGCCGACGAUCAGUAGCCGACCUGAGAGGGUGACCUGCCACAUUGGGACUGAGACACGGCCCAAACUCCUACGGGAGGCAGCAGUGGGGAAUAUUGCACAAUGGGCGAAAGCCUGAUGCAGCGACGCCGCGUGAGUGAAGAAGUAUCUCGGUAUGUAAAGCUCUAUCAGCAGGGAAGAAAAUGACGGUACCUGACUAAGAAGCCCCGGCUAACUACGUGCCAGCAGCCGCGGUAAUACGUAGGGGGCAAGCGUUAUCCGGAUUUACUGGGUGUAAAGGGAGCGCAGACGGCGAUGCAAGUCUGGAGUGAAAGCCCGGGGCUCAACCCCGGGACUGCUUUGGAAACUGUAUGGCUAGAGUGCUGGAGAGGCAAGCGGAAUUCCUAGUGUAGCGGUGAAAUGCGUAGAUAUUAGGAAGAACACCAGUGGCGAAGGCGGCUUGCUGGACAGUAACUGACGUUCAGGCUCGAAAGCGUGGGGAGCAAACAGGAUUAGAUACCCUGGUAGUCCACGCCGUAAACG
This 800-nucleotide ribosomal RNA is filed under the name uncultured bacterium. RNAcentral describes it as "bacterial SSU rRNA". It matches the Rfam family "Bacterial small subunit ribosomal RNA", at positions 8 to 808 of the family's 1533-position model. The record is from RNAcentral.